UCCGGUUCAUCACCGGCAGUCCCCUUAGAGUCCCCAACUAAAUGAUGGCAACUAAGGGCAAGGGUUGCGCUCGUUACGGGACUUAACCCAACAUCUCACAACACGAGCUGACGACAGCCAUGCAGCACCUGUCUUAACGUUCCUUUCGGCACUCCAAUCUCUCAACCGGAUUCGUUAGAUGUCAAGAGUAGGUAAGGUUCUUCGCGUUGCAUCGAAUUAAACCACAUGCUCCACCGCUUGUGCGGGCCCCCGUCAAUUCCUUUGAGUUUCAACCUUGCGGCCGUACUUCCCAGGCGGAAGACUUAUCGCGUUUGCUUCGAUACCGAUUGGUUCCCCAACCAACAUCUAGUCCUCAUCGUUUACGGCGUGGACUAC
RNAcentral lists this unclassified non-coding RNA (375 nucleotides) under uncultured Gammaproteobacteria bacterium. RNAcentral's name for it is "contains 16S-23S intergenic spacer region". Lineage: Bacteria; Pseudomonadati; Pseudomonadota; Gammaproteobacteria. The record is from RNAcentral.